UUUUGUAUAAGAGGUGAUUACUGAAUAUGUAAGAUUAUUUUCACGAACUAGGGUAGAACAUUAGUGCUAUUAGAUUUUCAGUUUUUAGAUGAAGCGAUCGAUGUACGGUUAGGAUAAUAGUGAUUUUCUAAUAUUGACUUGGUGGUUGGUUGAAUAGUAUGAUCUAACGGAUAAAAAUAAUCAAAAAAAGAAAAAAAACUUGACAGCACCAAGUGCUCGGUACUAUCGAUGGCAUUAUAACCAAACUCUUAUUUUCACAAUAGAAUUACACUUUUUGACUAUAAAUUGAAUUUUUACUUACGCUUCAUUACUUAUAAGUCGAUAUGCAGCAGUUGAGUUAUUAUCUAUAAGUAAAAUUGUAAUAGUAAUAUAAUUUUAGUAAAUUUCAGAAAGAUAUAAACGUAUAGAACUUACUCUGAACUAUGAAUUAUUUUGUUUCGAUUCCUUAAUUUUUCAAUUUGUUUGAUUUAUAUUAGUCGACAAUACUUCAACUUUACGAGAUUGUAUUAUUAGCGACUUUUUUAUAAAUCACGCUUUAUA
Molecule: long non-coding RNA, 540 nt
Filed under: Ananas comosus (pineapple)
Lineage: Eukaryota; Viridiplantae; Streptophyta; Magnoliopsida; Poales; Bromeliaceae
Description: long non-coding RNA (ACOM_LNC019221)
Source: RNAcentral